CGAGGUGUGGCUCAGUUUGGUAGAGCGCCACGUUCGGGACGUGGAGGUCGUGGGUUCGAAUCCCGUCACCUCGACCA
RNAcentral lists this transfer RNA (77 nucleotides) under Ruminiclostridium sp. RNAcentral's name for it is "tRNA-Pro". It matches the Rfam family "tRNA". Rfam says of the family: Transfer RNA (tRNA) molecules are approximately 80 nucleotides in length. The record is from RNAcentral. RNAcentral also lists the same sequence under 1 other name. Lineage: Bacteria; Bacillati; Bacillota; Clostridia; Eubacteriales; Oscillospiraceae.